UAACUUCCCGCGCCGAGGUCGGCUCUCGAACGAGAGCAGAGUCAUUCGAAACCCUAAUUCCGCUCCCAAUCUCCUCCGAAUCCAGACACCGAACCCUUCAUCGCAAUCGAAUCGAACUCCUCCUGCGGUCCGUGGAUGCGGCGGCGAUGGGAGGUCUUCGACGGUGACUUGGAACUGAGGGAUUUUCAUAAGCGGGAAGGCGGCCGCACCGACUGGCUUUGGAGCCCGGGGAUGAUGGCUUCUUGCAGCGGCAAUACGACUGAUAGGGUCGGUUGGAAUGGACCUUUCGACUCUGGAAUUUCUCGGUUUGUGUACCCCUCUACGCUUCAUUCUUUGUUUCAUGAAUGGCUUAGAUUGGAAUGUAGAUGCAUAUGAUGUGAAGGGAACGCGAUCACUGGAACUAUGCCCGUACCUGUUCCGGUCUUGAAGUUUUUGGGGCAAAG
RNAcentral lists this long non-coding RNA (443 nucleotides) under Musa acuminata (dwarf banana). RNAcentral's name for it is "long non-coding RNA (MACU_LNC006650)". Lineage: Eukaryota; Viridiplantae; Streptophyta; Magnoliopsida; Zingiberales; Musaceae. The record is from RNAcentral.